Mobula hypostoma (lesser devil ray) is the source of this 512-nucleotide long non-coding RNA. RefSeq lists it as uncharacterized. The record is from RefSeq and is a predicted model, not a curated record. Lineage: Eukaryota; Metazoa; Chordata; Chondrichthyes; Myliobatiformes; Myliobatidae. The transcript is spliced from 4 exons.
AGCCGCGCUGGUUCACCUGCUCCCUUAAUACCACCUCUUUGGUCAAGAAAGCACAGCACUUCCUGAGGAGAUUGAGUGACAAAGUCAUAAAUGUCAGCAAUGACACGUGAAACUCACAGACGAUGCUUUUCCCCUCUGAACCAGAUGUAAUUUUUAAGUACAAAUCAGAGUGAUAUUCAUUCACUGCCAAGCUGUGCUGAAGAUUGAGUGGUCUAUCCAAAUCCUUUCGAGGAACUACUGCAGACUGCUCUAGUGAAGAGUACAGUACAAGCGUUAUACACUCCAUUCAAGCAGUCCAUCUUCAUCAGUCUUCUCCUCGUAGGGAGUGAUCUCAUGGAGCCAUUCUUCACUGCUCCCCAGCUGAGUCCUGGUAAUGCUGUGCUGUCAUGUUCUGAAAGAAUGCAGCUGAUGAUUGUGAAUCUCUAAACACUUACUUACAUUCUUACAAUGUGUUGUUUUACGAUGCUGUUCAUGAUGCUAAAUGAAAAGAUGCCAGAAUAUUGAACACUGUA